CAAUGGCUCAANCAUUGUUCGCCCUAUGAACUGGAAGGCUNGAGUGCAGGAGAGGAAAGCGGAAUUCNUAGUGUAGCGGUGGAAUGCAUAGAUAUUAGGAGGAACAUCAGCGGCGAAGGCGGCUUUCUGGACUGCAACUGACACUGAGGUACGAAAGCGUGGGGAGCAAACAGGAUUAGAUACCCUGGUAGUNCACGCCGUAAACGAUGAGCACUAGGUGUCGGGGUCGUAAGGCUUCGGUGCCGUAGUUAACGCAUUAAGUGCUCCGCCUGGGGAGUACGCACGCAAGUGCGAAACUCAAAGGAAUUGACGGGGACCCGCACAAGCAGCGGAGCAUGUGGUUUAAUUCGAAGCAACGCGAAGAACCUUACCAGGACUUGACAUCCUUCUGACCGGUCUUUAAUAGGACCUUUCUUUUGACAGAAGAGACAGGUGGUGCAUGGUUGUCGUCAGCUCGUGUCGUGAGAUGUUGGGUUAAGUCCCGCAACGAGCGCAACCCUUGUCACUAGUUGCCAUCAUUAAGUUGGGCACUCUAGUGAGACUGCCGGGGACAACUCGGAGGAAGGUGGGGAUGACGUCAAAUCAUCAUGCCCCUUAUGUUCUGGGCUACACACGUGCUACAAUGGCUGGUACAAAGAGAAGCAAGACCGCAAGGUGGAGCAAAGCUCAAAAACCAGCCCCAGUUCGGAUUGUAGGCUGAAGCUCGCCUACAUGAAGUCGGAGUUGCUAGUAAUCGCAGAUCAGAAUGCUGCGGUGAAUGCGUUCCCGGGUCUUGUACACACCGCCCGUCACACCAUGGAAGUUGGGGGCGCCCAAAGUUGGCAGAUAAAUAU
RNAcentral lists this ribosomal RNA (833 nucleotides) under uncultured bacterium. RNAcentral describes it as "bacterial SSU rRNA". It matches the Rfam family "Bacterial small subunit ribosomal RNA", at positions 602 to 1441 of the family's 1533-position model. The record is from RNAcentral.